ACGGAAAAAGGAGAAUUCUUAGUUGGCUGGUGCAUUCUGCCGUUGUCUGUUAAAUAAUAAAAUCAAAACAAUUUGCUGGAGUUUCUUAAAGUUUUGUGGUGCCUUAAGUACUUUUCUUAGCGUAUAGUUCUGUGAAAUUUUUUUUUCAUUUCAUUUUUUUUUUUUUGAGUAUCUUUGUAGUUUUACCAAAAGAAUAGUAAUUUUUCUUAUUAUAUAGAUUGUAUGAUUUUCUUACGCCUAUUAUCGGCCUCCAUUUGUAUAUACACAUUUAAUUAGGCAAUCGUAGGAGCACAGAGGGCGUCGAAAUGACGUGCCACAUCCUGAUGCACACAGACAACCUGAAGAGCAAUAAUAACAUCUAAUUUCUUUACAUGAAAAGGAAAGGCAACACAGAUUAAGUGUUGGUUAAUGUGUACUAAGACUUGUACUAAAGUGUACGAGAAGCAAGCAGGAAAUUCCUAUUCAGUUUAUUUUGAAAAUCAAUCGCGUCAUUCGCUUCCGAAGUGGAAAACAACUUUAAUAUGCACAGCACCUUUGACGUUAUUCACCAUCGUUGUUGACACACAGAACUUCUUUCUACUAGAAACUCGAGAUGGUGUUGAAAACUCUUCUAAACCGUUUGGCGUAGCUAUUCAUAAAACAACAAAGCCUUUACAUUAUCUUUUCCCAGUUUCUUAUGGCAACGGUAUUGUUUUCUAUUGUAGCGCUUCAUCGUUGAAACUGAAUCACGCGUGAUUGCAAAGAUUUCUAAAGGGACCCUAUUUAGUGCGUGAAUGAAAACUAUAACACCAGGUAUUAACAUCAAUAGCAAGUGCUUCAUCACAAAACGAAACUCUAGAAAAACAAAAUUCCAACUAGUUGGAAUGACUCGACGGCAUCCGGAAUGAAUCACAGGUAGCUUUGGAACAACAUGUUGGCGGAUAGUUUUGACUAGUGGACACACGCAAUUGCGCUACUGAUGCUCAUUAUUCAUAGCCAUUUCGUGCCAUUGGAUAACUACACCAUCGUCAAUAAUGACGAAAUCGAAACAAAAAAAAGGCGGUGAAAAAUGAUCAUUCCGCAACGUUUAUGAAUGACGAAGAAAAAGAAGAAAUAUAAAUACUUCUGUAUACGCGAUACAUGGGUUUGCAACGAUGCUGGAAGCCUCACAGUUCUUCACGCGCUUCAUUCGCUCGCAUAACAAUGGUUAGUGGGAUGGGGAAGAUAAUUAUGCGUUUCUUCGAUAUUUGAAAAUGCAUACGACACGAGCGAUUAGAGGUAGUGUAGGAAUAGUGGUUGUUAUGUCAGAAUGAACAGGUGGACCCUCUGGCCUGAAAAGACGAAUCAGGAUGAUAGAAAACCUUAUAAAACGAGGUCAAAUCGAAGGUAGAGGUUAGUCGAGUGAACAUCUCUGACACAGUAUAGUACUAGCAGUCUUUCAAAUACCAAUAGCUGAUUUAAUAUAGUGUCUUCCAGUUCCAACCUGCAAUCAUGGGUAAUGUACACACUUCAACUUGUUUAAUGAUUUUAGUUAAUGUGAUGAUGCAAUUGUUGAUUAAAUUGAUGUUUGAACGAGGUGAAAUGAUUCUUUAUUGUCGUUUUAAGCAUUUCAAUGUCAUAAUGGAAUUAUGAAAAUUAAUGUUUUUUUUUUUUUCGUCAGGUUAUGAUGGCAUUAUGCUGCUACUAGCUGUCGUCUUCUGAUGACUGGAUCGACUUUAAGUGUGCCGAUGGGUUCAUCUUGUGGAUACGGUAUCUAUUCAUACCAGACAACCACUGCUGUGUCGUAUUACGCUACGAAGGCGGCCGAGCACUACACCACGACAUAUGUGGCCCGUACUUCCUACACCGAUGCGCCCAAGUAUUACAGCACCAAGGCAUCUGAAUACUACACCACUACGUAUGCAGCUCCGACUUACUAUACGGAGGCCUUGAAAUACUACUCCGCACCGAGCUAUUACACAGAAGCGCCAGUGUAUUACACAACAACAUAUGCCACUCCAAGUUACUACACCGUAGCUCCCACCUACUAUACGCCUCUGACUAUUACACGACAAUCUACGCUUCCCCGCCUACCACGUACGCUGUCCCAGCUUACUAUACUGAGGUUCGCAUGUAUUACAAGACGGAGGGUCCACGAUACUACACGACGAAGGCUCCCGAGUACUACACCACCAUGUACGCGGCACCAAGUUAUUACACUGAAGCUCCAACAUACUACACAACAACAUCUGCCACUCCUAGCUACUACAGCGAGCCACCAAAGCACUAUUUCCAAAUACUACACUACCACUUACGCCGCUUAUAUGUCAGUAAUGUGAAUGUGCGAAGGAAUCUAAAGAUUUCCGAAGGAAUACCGAAAUCGCGAGUUCAAUCCUCACCUGGAGCGUUGGGUUUUUAUUUCUAUCUCUUUACGAGGAUUGUAGCUGCCUGCGAUCACCUGAUUGAACUGUGUUACUUUGGUAAAACUAGCAGACAAAAUGCUGGAAUACAUCUCCUGAAGUUGGAAGUUGGACAAAACUCUUGUGGAAAAUGGAUACAAAGCACUGACUGUUCAUUCAAUUAGCAAACGUAGUUUCAAUUACUUU
Molecule: long non-coding RNA, 2564 nt
Organism: Daphnia carinata
Lineage: Eukaryota; Metazoa; Arthropoda; Branchiopoda; Diplostraca; Daphniidae
Exons: 4
Source: RefSeq, a predicted model, not a curated record